AGAGUUUGAUCAUGGCUCAGAAUGAACGUUGGCGGUGCGCCUUAUGCAUGCAAGUCGGACGGGGUUAUAUUCUUCGGAUUGUAACCUAGUGGCGAACGGCUGAGUAACACGUAAGUAACCUGCCUUGGAGUGGGAAAUAACCUGCCGAAAGGCGAGCUAAUGUCCCAUGUGAUAGCGAAGUUGAUGCUUUGUUAUUAAAGCCUUAGGGUGCUCCAAGAGGGGCUUGCGUCUGAUUAGCUAGUUGGUAGGGUAAUGGCUUACCAAGGCUGUGAUCGGUAGCUGGUCUGAGAGGAUGGUCAGCCAGAUGGGGACUGGGAUACGGCCCCAACUCCUACGGGAGGCAGCAGCAAGGAAUCUUGGGCAAUGAGCGAAAGCUUGACCCAGCGACACCGCGUGAGGGAUGAAGGCCUUCGGGUUGUAAACCUCUUUUCUUGGGGAAGAAUUCUGACGGUACCCAAGGAAUAAGCCUCGGCCAACUACGUGCCAGCAGCCGCGGUAAUACGUAGGAGGCGAACGUUAUUCGGAUUUACUGGGCGUAAAGGGAGCGUAGGCGGUUCCUUAAGUCAGAUGUGAAAUCUUCUGACUCAAUCAGAAGGCGUCAUUUGAUACUGAGGGACUUGAGAACAGCAGAGGGAAAUGGAAUCCCCAGUGUAGCGGUGAAAUGCGUAGAUAUUGGGGAGAACACCAGUGGCGAAGGCGAUUUUCCAGGUUGUUUCUGACGCUGAGGCUCGAAAGCGUGGGGAGCGAAGCGGAUUAGAUACCCGCGUAGUCCACACCCUAAACGGUGGACACUAGACAUGGGAGGUAUCGGCCCUUUCUGUGUCGAAGCUAACGCCUUAAGUGUCCCGCCUGGGGAGUACGGCCGCAAGGCUAAAACUCAAAGGAAUUGACGG
Molecule: ribosomal RNA, 893 nt
Filed under: uncultured bacterium
Lineage: Bacteria
Description: bacterial SSU rRNA
Rfam family: Bacterial small subunit ribosomal RNA
Source: RNAcentral